UACGUAGGGGGCAAGCGUUGUCCGGAAUCAUUGGGCGUAAAGAGCGCGUAGGCGGCCCAGUAAGUCCGCUCUGAAAGUCAGGGGCUCAACCCCUGGAUGCGGGUGGAUACUGCUGGGCUAGAGUCCGGAAGAGGUGAGUGGAAUUCCUGGUGUAGCGGUGAAAUGCGCAGAUAUCAGGAGGAACACCAGUGGCGAAGGCGGUGCUCUGGGCCGGAACUGACGCUGAGGAGCGAAAGCGUGGGGAGCAAACAGG
Molecule: ribosomal RNA, 253 nt
Filed under: uncultured bacterium
Lineage: Bacteria
Description: partial 16S ribosomal RNA
Rfam family: Bacterial small subunit ribosomal RNA
Source: RNAcentral